Small nuclear RNA from Ipomoea nil (Japanese morning glory), 161 nucleotides. It matches the Rfam family "U1 spliceosomal RNA". From Rfam's summary of the family: U1 is a small nuclear RNA (snRNA) component of the spliceosome (involved in pre-mRNA splicing). Its 5' end forms complementary base pairs with the 5' splice junction, thus defining the 5' donor site of an intron. The record is from Rfam. NCBI's taxonomy places the organism in Eukaryota, Viridiplantae, Streptophyta, Magnoliopsida, Solanales, Convolvulaceae.
AUACUUACCUGGACAAGGUCAAUGGUUGAUCAAAAAGAGCCAUGACCUAGACUAGUGACCUCCAUUGCACUAUUGGAGGGGUGCUAGCCUAAGGUCUCCCUAAAUGGGAGAGCCUAUAUCAUAAUUUGUGGCAGAGAAGGCUGCGCGAGCUUGAGUUCAAG